UGCGCCGGCGCGGAGUAAGUUUGGGCCGAGAGGUGUGGUUCCCCCGCCGCGGGCCCCGGGAGAGCGCGCCGUGGCCCCGUUGUGACCGGCGCAGAGACACGGGCGUGACAGUGAGCACUCUGCGUUUUUAUUUCACUACCGGCGCCUUCCGUCCCCGGGAGAGGCGGGAAAGGGAGGUCCAGGUUCAGGCGCUGAAGCCCAGGGGAGCAGAGGAGGGGUCGUCCUGCUUCACAGGGCCGUCUCGGCUGAACAUGUAGAGGAGCAGGUCUACCACCCGGUUACUGUAGCCAUAUUCGUUGUCGUACCUGGGGCGGGAGGAGGCGGGUCAGGGGAUCUGUCCCGAGCACUCCUGCUCUCUCCGCUCACCCCCCAAUCUCUCGGACUCCUCUACCCCUUACCAGGAAAUGAGCUUCACGAAGUUGUCGUUCAGAGCGAUGCCGGCUUUGGCAUCGAAGAUGGACGAGUGGGUAUUGCUCACAAAGUCCGUGGAGACAACCUGGACGUUCAAAUUUCAAGAUUAAGUGUGGAUCGCCGAGCAAGGACCUCCAGGAGCCCAGGCUCCGACUCUUAGGCACACUGGCCAUCCAUUCAUCUACAAUAUUUGGUGGAGCCCUGCUGUGUCCGGGUUCAGGGGACGUAUGAGGAAGGCACACCGGGGUUUGCCUCCUGGAGGUGGCCAAAGGGCUGAGGCCAAACGCCCUUAUGCUGCACCAGCAUCACGUCUGGUAAUGAUGCAGGCACUCAGACACAGGGACAUCCUCUCUUAGGGGAGGUGGUGAGGCUGGGUAUGGAUGUUGAGGAGGAUCUGGUCAACCUUGGGCCUCCUGUGGUGUUAAGGCCAUAGAGGAAGGUGUUGGGGGGAGGGGGGAGCUGUGAUCUGAUUUGCUUAAAAUGAGAUCCUGGUGGCUAUGUGAGUGGACCUGUAGGAACUAAAGCACAGAGGCAGCACCAAAGGUGGGUGUACAGAGAUGGCAUGACUGGGAGCAAAGGGAUGGUGACACCCUUUCUUCCCAGGGAGGGCACCUGGCCAUGGCCUGUCCCAAGUAAGUGUUGAAAAAUGGGAGCCAUUGUCUUGUUCACUAAGCAGGUACUGAGCACCUGCUGUGUGCCAGGCCCCGGGAAGAUGGCUGGAGCCACGGAGGUGAAAAGAGAGUCCCAAAGUCGGUGCUUUCUUGUGCUAGCAGUGCCAGUUGUGACUAUGAAAUGAAAUUUCAGGUAAGAGAAAGGGCCAGAAAGAGAAUAUCUUAUUGGGACAGAAGUUGAAGUAGAGACUCGGAGGUGGGGGCAGACUAUGUGGCCACCUGGAAGAAAAGCUAUUCAGACCACAGGAACAGCAAGUACAAAGACCCUGAGGCAGGGAGAUCAGACCUUCCCAGCCCUGCAGUCCCUAUCUUGAUUCAUGGUGAGCAGCUCUUUGGCAAGUGGAAAAUCCCAUUUCCUCCUCAGAGGGCUCCUCCCCGGGGUCCGCUUCCUCAGCCCCUACCUCAUCCUCGGUGUAGGCAAGGAUGCCAGCCAAGGGCCCCUUGGCUGCUGCUUUUAUGGCAUCCUUGAUGGCCUGGUACGAGGUAGGCUGGGCCAGGCGGCAGGUCAGGUCCACAACAGAUACGUCUGGGGUUGGCACCCGGAACGCCAUUCCCGUCAGCUUCCUGGAGAAUCCCACAUUAGGGGUGGGAGUCAGAACCCAAGGACUUCUCUGUCUAUCCCUCAUUGUGUCUGCUUUCCCUCUAUAGACACCUCAGGGGGCCAUCAUACCCUUUGAGGGCUGGGAUGACUUUGCCCACGGCCUUGGCAGCCCCUGUGGAGGCUGGGAUGAUGUUCUGGUGGGCGCCCCGUCCAUCUCUCCAGGCCUUCUUCGACGGCCCAUCCACUGUCUUCUGGGUGGCAGUGUAGGAGUGAAUUGUGGUCUUGGAGAGGAAGAAAACUGAGCUGCCACCUUCCUGACUUCAGCCUCAACGCCCCCCGGCCCCCCCACAGGAGGACCAUCCAUGACUGCUCCCAGCCAGGCCAGGCCCAUUCUAACAUGCUGGCCAGAACGUGGGCCCCCGGGAGGGUGUGGCCUGCCCUGCUACUUCUGGUCUGCAGCCCUGCAAUCUCCCCCAGCCCUCCUCGUCCCCCUUGUCCCGCACCAGGAGCCCGGUGCGAGAGCUGGGCAAGUCUCUGAAGACACACUGCAUCCCUGAGAGCGGAUCCCAGGGGAGCACUGAACCCUGAGGUGGCCCUGGGGCCCGCAGUGAUAGGUAGUUUACAUUAGAAAGUAAAGGAGAUUCUGGUUUCAUGUUUCAGAAGCUCACAUUUCCACUCGAUAGCCAAUGUUUGUAUUUGAAACAUCAAACAUCUAGUGUUUGCUGUUUUCUACUUUAGCCAACAGGCGAUAAAUGAAUAAACGGUGUACUGGUUUUUUCCCUUCAUGGGGUUUUAUCACAA
Molecule: long non-coding RNA, 2424 nt
Organism: Suricata suricatta (meerkat)
Lineage: Eukaryota; Metazoa; Chordata; Mammalia; Carnivora; Herpestidae
Exons: 2
Source: RefSeq, a predicted model, not a curated record